RNAcentral lists this long non-coding RNA (22742 nucleotides) under Ananas comosus (pineapple). Its description in RNAcentral is "long non-coding RNA (ACOM_LNC026547)". The record is from RNAcentral. Lineage: Eukaryota; Viridiplantae; Streptophyta; Magnoliopsida; Poales; Bromeliaceae.
UAUAUAUAUAUAUAUAUAUAUAUAUAAUUUUUAUUUAUAAAUAUAUAUUCAUUUAUUAUAUAUAUUAUUUUAUUUUUAUAUAUAAAUAUUUAUAUAAUAUUUUAUUUAUAAAUUUAUAAUUAUUUAUUACUAUUUUUAAAUAUAUAAAUUUUAUGUAUUAUUAAUAUAUGUUUAUUAUUAAUAUAUGAAUAUAUUUAAUCUAUAUAUAAAAAUUAUAAUAAUAAUAUAUAUAGUAUAUUAAUUAUUAUAUAUUUAAAAUAUAACCGAAUUUUUGAUUCCGAAUUUUUAAUUGGUGAACGUAUAAUAUCCGUAUAAAUCACGUAUCCGAAUAAUUACCAAAUUCGUCUUUUAGCCAUAUUUUUUAACGAAUCUAAAAAUUAAAAGACGAAUUUUAUCCGAAUUAUACCUGUAUCGAAUUUUUGCCUAAUCCGAAUUAACUAACUAUGCAAGAAAGUAUAGAAAUAGAUCCCUAAAUGCUUUUAUUCCAACUCCAUUUUAUCUAAUAGCAUCAUAUAGACCUCAAUACCAAACUAAGUCUUACUAAUUUGAAGACCAAAGUGUAAGCAAUUUGAUCACAAUAUUUGUUUAAAAAAAAAAAUUUAGAACAAUUAUCACGGGUCUUACUAAUUUGAAGACCAAAAGCGUAAUUAGUCCAAAUAAAGAUAGAGUUAAAUAUCGAUUGGUUUUGUUCAAUUAGUAAUUUUAUUCAAGAAAAAAUAUAUUAAACUAUCUAACAAAUUUUAUAAUGCCUAAUUGUUAAAAUUAAAAGUCGACCAAUUAUAUUUUGGAUAUUUCAAAAAUUGUAGAUGUAAAAUUGAUCACUUAUCAGAUUAUAAUAUAAUAUUAAAAAUUGAUAUUAAAAUCAAAGUAAAAUCGUAUAAAAUUUGUCUAAACUAUGAAUCAAUUUGAAUUAUCUAUUCAACUUUUUAAAUUUUUAUUUUUACUAUAAAAUCAUUCUAUAUGUUCGAUUUUAAAAUUCACGUAUAAAAAAUCCCCCAGGCACGCUCGCGUGCGCGCUCGUGCCCGCACCUCGCCCGCGCCCGCUCCCCCGCAUGCCACCCCCCCCUCGGCUCCCCUUCGCCGCCACGUGUACUAAAACUCCCGAUUCAUAUAUUUACUAGUUUACGCGCGAUGCAGCGAGUAGAUAAUAAAAUCUAAAAUUUCAAAUUUUAAAAAAUAAAAUUAUAGUAAGAAUUCUAAAUACUAAUUUUUCUAAAUUAUAAAAUUUUGAAUGAAAGUUAUAUGGCUCCAAAACAACACUAUUCUUCAAUAAAUGUGGUUAGAAACUUUAGAAUUUUACCAAAUUCUAAAAUUCACACUAUAAAGUUCAUAUUAUAAAAUUCAAAAUAAAAUAAGUCUAUUACAUAUAUUCUUAAAAUAUUAUAGAAAUUAAAUCUUGUGAUAGUUUUGUUGGGAAAAUCUUCACUUCUCUUCUUCAUCGGAAUCAGAAGACUAAAUUAAACUGCAAAUAAGAGUACACAUUCAAGUUUUUUUCUAUUUAUAUCAAAUAAAAUAUAAACUAUGCAUUAGAUAUUUUAAAGCAAUAUUUUAAACUUCUUAUGAACAGUAUGUUUGUAUUUUAUUUCUUAGAUCUUAUUUACCAGUUGGUUAAGACAUUAGGAAGGUGGCAUGAUACGUUGUUUGAUAUAUAUAUAUAUAUAUAUAUAUAUAUAGAAUGGAGUUUUAUAUGAAAAUGACUUGAUAAAAUUAGAUAGAAAAAGUUAAGAAUUCAACAAAAAACUCAAUUUAUAUUCAGAGAUGAUCCUGCACAGUUUAAUUUAGAGUGUAAUUUGUUAAAAUUAAAUCAUUAGUUAAAUUUUAAUUUAUUUAUUGAGUUAUAUUUUGUUAUAAAUUGGAUUUGAAUGGGACUAAAUAAUUUAAGUUGAUUUGUGGGUAGAAGUAGCAUAAAAAAAUAAAAAGAAAGUUGUAGAUGUAGAUGAAUCAUUAGCAACAACAGCACUAUAAUAUGGCAAAAUUAAAAUAAUUAUAAAUUUCAAACAAAUAAUUAAUAUGGCAAUAUGUAAUUAUUUUCAUAAAUCGGCUAUUCCUAGAAACCUCCACAUCAACAAAAGAACAAAACUGUCCAUCUGCAACCAUAGUAAUUCCAUAUCUUCGAGGAGGUAACGAAAAUUGUAAGGAUUGAGAUGUUUACAGUGCAACUAAACUCUUCGUUGACGAUAUUUAUGUGUGUAAUUUAAUUACAUAAGCACUCGUCAAGUUUCAGAAGAAAAUGAGCUAAAACGGAGAAGUUACGCGAUUAUUAGUUUUCACUUAAAGUGAAUAGUAACUCCGGUUUUCCGGAGAAGCCACGGAGUAGAGUUGGCUUUCGGCGCGUAUCGGACUCCGAGCAUAGAACUCCAAUAGCUCGUUUCGAACAGUUCAGCUAUUCUGGAACCAAUGGCACUGACGGAUUUCGGAUCCGAUGCACGGUUUUCGAGAAAAAGGAGUUUUAACAAAAAGAGGGUUUCCGCUCUUUGCUAUUCGUGCAUUUUAAAACUCCUCGUGCUCUGUGCUUGUGACCUGGGAUUAGGUGAGAGUUGUUUUUGGUACCUACUGGUGGUAGGGAAUUCAAAUUUGAAUUUGGUUGUGAACCCCAAUAAAUACACAUCGGAUGGCGAAUGGGGUUGUCAUUGGGUUUAUAAGAGACUUAGACACUAGUAAUAAUAACUGGGCUUAAGCAUUUUGGCUGGGUGGUUUUGGGCCCAAUGAGUUAUUGUUGCUAGUGGGCUGGGUCGUAUCAUUUGGUAUCAGAGCCGGUCUCACCAGCUGGACAUAUGUGGCGAGUCUCGGCUGAGCUAGGGUCUGGAUGACGGGCUAGCGAGACGAGUCUCACAUCGCCUGGUGAUCUUGGACUGGUGUGUGUGUUUUGGACUGAUCAGAGGACGUCAGCGGCCUUAACGGGGGAGUCCGUGAACCCAAUAAUCCACAUCGGAUGGGAAUGGGUAGUUGUCAUUGGGUUAUAAGAGACUUAGACACUAGUAAUAAUAACUGGGCUUAAGCAUUUUGGGCUGGUGGUUUGGGCCCAAUGCAGUUAUUGUUGCUAGUGGCGGCUGGGUCGUUACAGGAUUAAAGGUUGUUUAGGGUUUAUACUUCGGGGUAUAUGCGCGAUAUACGAAUUAAUUAGAGACGGGGUGGGUUCCGUCGUGAAUUCGUGACCAAAUCUGACAAAACAAGAUGGUAGUUGGAUGCCCUCAUUGUGCUGAACGCGAUGGUGCGAUCCGUUCGGAAAUCCGAUGAACGGAUUGCCGGAUAUUGCAGUGUUGUUCGCUAAGGGUCGAGAGUGGAAAAUCGCGGAAAUUCGCAAAAGUCGUUAUAUUUUAUGUACCGAUUUGCCAAGGGAUCUGUUAUAGGAAGGAUUCGUGCAUUUUACACGUGCUAGCAGGGUCUGAACUGAAAAUAUUCAGCUUUGGGGACGUUUAAGCAUUCAUGUCGCUUGUAAACAAGUUGCGACUAGGGGUUUCAUUGCAUGAAAACCUAGAUCUAGCCGACCCAAUGCCUAGCUAUGCCCUAGUGAACACCAGACAGCUCUGCUGCCUAGGCAGGAACCCCGUGGCCGUACCCCGUGGCGGCAAUCUCCCCGGCCGCCGGAAAAAGCUUGGGUGGCUUUCCUCCACCAUAUUCUAUACCUAACCACCAUAGAUCGACCUUCAUCUCUGUCGUGGCCCUCAGGGAAGAGAUCCACUAGCCUUUGGCCUUGUCCUUGGCUGCAACCUAACCCCAGGCGCCGUCUCUGCCGCCCCGAGCGCGCCAUCAUCGCCCUGGCUAGAUGCGGCCAGAUCUGAAGCAGAUCUGGCGAAGGCCGUCGGGGAUCUCCUCCUCCUCGCCCUGCUGCCGUCGGGAUUGAAGCGUCACCCUCCUGGAACUCCCCGGCGCCGUCCCCGCAGUCGUUCGCGUCCUGCACGCGCCGCCGGCGCCGCCCCAGCUACCUGCGGCCACCCGCAGUCACCACCGGGCCGAGCCUGGGUGAUCUCGGUAUCCCGAGCCGGCUGACCUCCCUUUGGCCGCGGCCGCCCUUCUGUCGACGCCGCGCGACCUCCGGCAACCCGGCACGCUCGUCCCCCGCCGUCCCCGCGCGCCGCCGGUCGCCGCUGAGAUCACCUGCGGCCGCCCAGACCCGUGCGGGCCGAGCUCGGGCCCGCUCGGCUUCCAAGCGCCGCCGCCGCCAACCGGGGGUUGCACCGCCUUCUCCUCGGCCUCCGCCGCCGAUUCGUCGCCACCCCGACCUCCUCCGGCCGCCGCCGCGCCGCCGGGAAGAUCAAACCCGAGAAGGAGUGGGAGGCGUGGAUCUCAGCCGCCGCGCCACCGGUUGCCGCCCGCCACCGGCCAUCACCCUCCCCGGACCUCUCGGACCGACUGUUUCCAUCUCCGGCCGGACCGCCUGCCUCCCGGCCACCGGCGGCUAACCCUAGCUCCCUGCACUCCGGUAAGACUGUUUUUAGGUUACAGCUUACUGUUUGAGAUUUUCGGUUGCCUUUCCGGCAAUCCGAGGACACCCCGAUGACAGAGGAAGUGAGCACGGUCAUCCUUACUUCGUGCUGAACAUCGUGCUCACCUUCGUUGGGGUCAACGAUGCCCAGGUUUGCGAGUUUGACGCAAUGUAAGCGCUGUGCGCGCUAUUUCGCUGAGGUUCGCGUCGUGUGUGCGACUGCCACAAGGGUUGGCAGUGCUCCGAAAGGUGAGCACGGCCUCCGGCACGUCGAAACCUGUAAAUGGGUAUCUUAGCUCGGCUGAUUGACCUCUGGUUUGCGUAGACGGACCAUAAAAGCCCGAGAAAUACAUGAAACAAUGUGAUUUCUUAGAAUUGGGAGGGCUUUUAUGCAAUUUGAUUCGUCGUGGCUGCUGUUGGAAGCAUUUGCGGGUAGUGGGUAACCUCUGGACUGAUUGUCCAAGGCCCCAAGUCCUUGCGGAAAUCGAAAAGUGAUUUUCGGAGCGUUUUUUGGCGAAAUCCGCCGAUAGAACGUGGUUUCGGUUCGGAAUUCUUCCGACGGUUCCUCGUGAGCAUUUCUUGAGUCGCUGAGCCUUGUUGGCUGGUCACUCACAUCAUUUCAGGGGUUUUGAAAUGGCGGGUGAGCGACGGUGGGUUCCGGUGUUGAAAUAGACACUCUCGGGAACCCGGAUCCGAACGAUUAUCCGACGAUAAUUGUUUGGAGGCGAGAUUUUGGGAUUGCUGCCAAGACAUCUUAUUUGAUGUGUUUAGUGGCAGCGGGUGACUCGUAUCAUGAGUCGGUGCGUUUCGGGACAUUUUAGUGGUCCCGACGGAGUCCCGGUGCGAUUUUCGGGACUUCCGGCGAGUUACGGUAAUCGGUAUUGGGAAACCGAUCUCCGUGGGAUUGCUUAUGGGUUAUGCUUUUAGGGUUUCUUAGUUGUGGGUUAGACACUAACCUAGUGGACCCUCCUUAGGUCCGGUUGACGUUCUUUUGCAGUCAGGAGACAGGCGCGACAUUUGUACAGGUGGGUACUUCGAUCCGACGUUGGUACAGUGGUGCACGCUCGGUGAUGGUUUCUUACCUUUGCUCUUUCGUUAUUAUCUAGCAUAUAUAUAUCUUGAUAUAUAGUGUUGAGCCUAGCACCAUGUUGUUCAGUUACACUCUACUCGGUUGUUCUCUUUAUAUCAUGAGUAGGAGUAGAGUAGUCAUACCAUAUUUCUUUAUUGCGCUACUUAGCUAUUCUGCAUAUCUUGUAUCAUGUUUAGAGUAGAGCGGUUUCGUGAUUUUAUGUGAAAUCGGUGACCUAGUUGAUUUGUUCUUGUAUCUUAUAUCUGUAUAUAGUCGGUUUGUUCCUUGACUCUUGUUGUUUGAUGACCUUUGAGGUCGGUGUACCCUGAGGGGUAGGAUUGUCGACUAGUGGCCGACGGUAGUUCUAGAUCAUAUACUCAGAUGACUUGUUGACCGAUUCUUGCAUAUAUACAGUAGUUGACUCAUUGAUCAGUAUCUACAUACUGUGGGUAGGAUGUUGAGUUGUUCCAUCCCAGUUGACUUGAUUAGUCAGUAUUUGCAUAUGUUUGAGAGGAUGUCGAUGUUGUCCCAUCCUAGUUGACCUGAGUGGUCGGUUCUUGUGCUUCUUUACAGUUGAUGACCUAUGCGGUCGAUAGGCCCUGGGGGGCAGGAUUGUCGGCUGGUUGCCGACGGUUGAUCAUUGACCAUAUUGCAUUGAUCGCCCGAUACUCGUCGCAUUUCACGAACACUGGCGGUCUGAUCCACCGCAAGGAGUGUUCUUUUCCGGAAAAGUGGUUGAAUGGUGACAACCCGUGAGCCCUAGAGGGGUUAUAUGCAUGUUAGAGCGGCAGUGGUACUGUCGGGAGGUGUUGCGGUGCGGACCUCCAGGGCAUUGGCUUGAGGUCUGCGGUGCUGACCAAGAGAGCAUUGGUUUCAGAUUGGGUACUUUUGGACUGAUUGUCCCAUUGACGCAUAUGUUUAUAGUAGCAGUCGUUGCAUGCAUACUUACAGAUCUUACUUUAUAGUUGUCUUGCUACUAUAGUAGAUAUUCAUGUAUGCUUUCUGUUCCAGUUACAGUAGCGGUAGCCGUUUAUUCAGUAUAGUUCUUACUUCCUUUCAGUUUAUCGCUAUUGUAUAUCUGCUCAUUACCUUGUUUAUUUCCACUGACCCAUGUUGUUGUAUAGUUCUUCCUGAUCCGGUGAGUACUCCUCGCCUUCUUCGGCUUGCGGUACCCACUGGGAGGGGAGACAUGUUUACAUGUUCUCACCUCCCCCACCAUUUUUCAGGUAUCGCGGGCGUUGAGUAGUGGGACGAGACGUGAGGUACGUGUGUAGCGGUCGAUAGAGCUUCCGACCCAGGUUAUUUCGAUUUAGCUAUUACCCUUUUUAUUUCUGUGGAUAUAUAUAGCUUAGUCGGUUUACAUGGUUCAGUUUUGUUUUAUUAUUUGAAUAUCUGAGUUUUCAGUUGGUUUUGGAAUGUAAUAAAGGAAUUGUGUUUUCUUGAAAUAAAAGGUUUUCUACCCCUCGUGGUAGCGUUUCUUAAAGAAUAAAGGUUUCCGUGUAGGGAACAGUUUUCAAAAGAAUUUUCGUGAAUUUCUAUUUAAACACUGAAUGUAAAACUGUGAUGUGAAUGGUGAAUGUAUGGAUGUAUAGUUAUCUUUAUAUUCAUUUGGUUGUGGUUGUUUCCUGGCUAUACUCUUGUACUUGUGCGAUGCCAUGCAAAUACAGGGGAGACUCUGUCCGUGUGAAUAGUGGAUUCCCUGUAUUUGUGGCGGAUCUGGCAUACCCUGGGGUCAGGUUUGCAAAAAAAAAAAAUUUCGCUGUGUUUUUAACCUAAAGGGACCCCGGGGCGUGACAAAAAUUGUACAUAGAUUUUGCGAAGUAAACAGCGAAAGUUGAUGUCGAUAUUAACAGUUGAUGCCAUUUAUUGUCGAAGAAUACAUGCAGGACUUUUGUUUUAGUUUUGACAUGUGUUUUACUUUAAACACAUAUUCUAUUAAAUAAUAAAGGCAAAGAAAAAUAUUUAAAAGUAAUAAAGUUCUAACUAAAGCAAAAUCAUAAAUACAAAAAUACAAAAACAAAGGAAGUCAAGAAUAAAGACUCUAAACUAAAGGCAUAUUGAGCAUGGAUAAAAACAAUGCACAUAUAGAGGGCCUCGGAAUGACUUCUUUUUUAACUUUUUAAUGUAAAUAUGAGCAUAUGCACUACAACUUAUCGGAGGUUUGAAGGAAUGCAACACCAAACAGGAGAUCAAUUAACGUAGUAGAUCGUUGAUAGAUUCCUGAGGGAAAAUAAUAAAAUUGUAUGUAAUACAUUAAUAUUUUUCAUGUAACUACAAACAUAUCUAAAAUCAAAGCAAAUAUGAGCACAUAGGUAUUAGGAUUUACCGAAAAUCCGAAGGAAGGCAACACCAAACAGUAGAUUAAUCAAUGUAGUGGAUCGCCGAUGGAUUCCUGAGGAAAAAUAACAAAACAUCAAAUAACAAAACAUAAAAAAAAUGUACAUCUGUACAUAGUCUGUACAUAGUAAUAAUAAAGUGAAAAUAUAGAGUAUCUACCAUCUACUACCUACCAUUGAUAAAAUAUUGUUGGAAAAGAUGCUGGAAUAAAGCAAAUGCCAAUGUUAUUAUAUAGGCAUAUCCAUCUUCUCCUUCAACGGCUGAAGAAGAUAAAUCUCUUCUCCUUCCGCUAACCUUCCACCUCUCUAUCUUCUCCUAAUUGAAGAGGAAUAUCGAGCAUGAAGGGCCAAAGAACGGAAACGGCCGAUGAUGAAGAUGAACAGGGUUCUUACUGAACCCUGUUCAUAGCCGGUUCGGUUUAAUAAAUGAAAGAAAGGGAAAUGAAGAGAAAGUAGACUGGUUCACAUUGAACCCUAUUCACAGUCGGUUCAGUUUAAUAAAAGAAAGAAAGGGAAAUAGAGAGAAAGUAGACCGGUUCACAUUGAAGAUGAACCAUGUUCAUAGCCGGUUCACAUUGAAGAUGAAUCCUGUACACCACCGGUUCGGUUUGGUUCGGUUCGGUUCAAAUAAGAAAGGCAAGUCAGUUCAAGUAAGGACUGAAAAAACGAAUUCAAACAAAAUAUAUAACAACCAACUGUCCCUAGAGCAACUGGCAAAGGGCUUGGUGGUUGGUACCCGAGACCCAAGUUCGAAUCCUAGUUGAUUCACAUUUCCAGCUAAGUUUAUUUCUAAAUGAAAUAAAUGAAGCGGGUAGCGUGCUACCUAUCUCUCAAAAAAAAAAAAAAAGACAAAAUAUAUAACAAAGUAGACCGGUUUGAUUCGAAAAAAAAGAAGAGCCAGGUUCGGUCCAAGUAAGGAGUGAAGUAUUAGAUUCAAACAUAUAUAACAAAGUAGACUGAUUCGAUUCAAAAAAAAAGAAAAAAGUAGAGAUGAGCCGGUUCAAUAAAAAACUAGUUUCAAUCCGGUUCGAUUCAAGUCAGGAGUGAAGAACCGGAUUCAAACAUAUAUAACAAAGUAGACUGAUUUGAUUCAAAAAAAAUAAAAAGUAGAGAUGAGCCGGUUCAAUAAAAAACCGGCUUCAACACAAAAUAUAUAACAAAAUAUGUCGAUUCAGUUCAAAAAAAUAAAUAGAAAGAAGAAGAGGUUCAAAAAAGAAUAAUUGAAAGAAGAGAAAAAAAAAUCGGAUUCAAACAAAAUACAUAACAAAAUAGACCAGUUCGGUUCAAAACUUUUUUUUAAAAAUAAAGUAUAUAAAAAAACUUAUUGGUUCGGUUCAAAAAAGAAUAAUUGAAAGAAGAGAAAAAAAAAAAUAGAAAAGUCCUAAACUAAGGAGGAAGCGCCACAUCAUCUUACACAUUGGAGAUUAAUAUAGUUGUAUAGAAUAUAUAACAAAGUAGACCGAUUCGAUUCAAAAAAAAUAAAAAGUAGAGAUGAGCCGGUUUAAUAAAAAACCGGUUUUGACACAAAAUAUAUAACAAAAUAUGUCGGUUCAGUUCAAAAAAAUUAAUAGAAAGAAGAAGAGGUUCAAAAAAGAAUAAUUGAAAGAAGAGAAAAAAAAAUUGGAUUCAAACAAAAUACAUAACAAAAUAGACCAGUUUGGUUCAAAAAAUUUUUAAAAGAAGAUGAGUCGGUUGAAUGAAUAACCGAGUUCGACACAAAAUAUAUUAAAAAAAGGGAUAAUUGCCUAUUUACCCCCCAUACGUUUGAAAAUAUCCGAUUUACCCCUAUCUUUUUUUUCCUUCUAAAAUACCCCUUAUAUGUUCCACCGUUAUUGCAAAAUACCACCGCAGUUAUCUCCUGUUAAGUUAACUUGAGUUAAAUGUGAGUUAAAUAUCUACCACAGUUAAAAAAAUAAAAUGCCAAUUUUGCCCUUAACAUAAGGGCAAAUAAGAAAUGUUGGUGACGGUAGAGGGGUAUAUUUAAAAAGGCCAAAAGUCAAAAUACUUUUUGUGCCCCUGACUUUAAGUGCAAAUAAGAAAGUUAGUGAAGGUGGAAGGGUAAAUUUGAAAGGGCAAAAUAGUAAUUUUACAGAGAUAACAGAGUUAAUUAACAAAUUUUAACUCUAAGGGUAUAUUAGAAAUAGGUUAGAACGUAAAAAGAGUAUUUUCAAUAUUAGCGUUCUAAAAGGGGUAAAUCGGAAAGUCGGGAACUUUUCAGGGGUAUAUAAGGAAUUGCCCCUAAAAAAAAACUUGUUGGUUCGGUUCAAAAAAGAAUAAUUGAAAGAAGAGAAAAAAUAAAAAGAAAAGUCCUAAACUAAGAAGGAAGCGCCACGUCAUCUUACACAUUGGGGAUUAAUAUAGUUGUAUAGACCAGUUGGUUCAAAAAAAUUUAAAAACCAAAUGAGUCGGUUCAAUGAAGAACCGAGUUCGACACAAAAUAUAUAAAAAAACUUGUUGGUUCUGUUCAAAAAAGAAUAAUUGAGAGAAGAGAAAAAAUAAUUAGAAAAUUCCUUAUAAGGACUGAGAAUUUGACUGUGUAGUUAAACUCUGUGUUGACGAUGUUUUUAUGUGUAAUUUAAUUAUAUAAACACUCGUCAAGCUUCAGGAGAAAAUGAGUUAGGAUGGAGAAGUUACGCGACCUGUACUAGUCACUUAAAGUGAAUAGUAACUCUGGUUUUCCGGAGAGGCCAAUUAGUGGAAAUGGCUUCUGGUGCGUAUUGGACUCCGUUCAUAGUGAUCCAAUAGCUCGUUUUCAAUGGUCCGGCUAUUUUGGAACCAUUGGCGCUGAUGGAUUUCAGAUCUGACACACGGUUUUCGGGGAAAUUGAAAAUACAUGUUUUCUAUGUAUUUGUGUGCGGGAUUUGCCUAUUGGUGAGAGGAUGGAUUUCGUCGCGAAUCUGCGACCAAACCAGACGAAACAAAAUAGUGAGUUUAAUGCCCCUGUCGUGUUGAUCGCAUUAGUGCGAUCCAUUCGCAAAUCCAAUGGACUGAUCGCCGGAUAUCGUGUGAUUAUCGAGGAGAGGUCAAAAUGGCAAUUUUGUAUCUUGCGCAAAACCCUCUAUAUUUUAUGUACCGAAUCGCGUGAGAUCGGACGUGGAGAUGCGUACGCGCAUUUUACACGCACUGGGAGGGACUCAAAUGAAAUUAAUAAGUGUCGGAGGACUAUUUUGCAAGGUGGCCAUAUUGUAUAUAUAUGGCAUCUAGGGUUUUCAAGUGGAAACCCUAACCUUAGAUGUCCUCCUCCCUCAGCCGACCUCCCUGCCACCCCCAGCACCUCCCUCUGCCCUAGCCACGCGCACCCCAGCCAACUGCGCACGCUGCCGGCUGCCGGAGAGGCUCCUCCUCCCUUUCCUCCACCAUCGCCAUCACUACCUUCACCUUUCUCUGCCCGAGCAUCAGCAUGGAGGGGCCCCUCACCCUCAGGCUCCUCCCCUGGCCGUGCCUGACCUCCGGCGACCCUCCCCUACCAGUCCCCGCCGUCCCCGCACGCCGCCGUCGCCGUCUAGGCGCUCUGCGGCCAACUGGGUCAGCUUGGGCCGAGCUUGAGUUAUCUCAUGGCCCGCAAGCUGCCGCCGCCUGGAACCUGCCGCGCCACGCUCCACCGACCCUCGGCGACCUCCUCGCCGGUCGCCGCCAGCCCGGGCCCGUCGCCGUCGCCGCCGGCCCUGCGCGUCACCGUCGCAGCUCCUGCUAGCCUAUGGCCGCCCCGAGCCAGUUCGGGCCGAGGCGGAGCCAGCCUUUCCCCUCGCGCCGCCGCAGCCUCCCACCGCCGGCUGGUGUGAGCGCCGGUUCUGCCUGGCUUGUCGCACCCAUCCGCCGCCAGCGCCCCCACUGUCGGAGCUCCCUGUUGGCCGGAUUGGGCCCGUGCUCUCCACGGGUUUGUGUGGCUAGGGCAUCAGUGCCCGUCGCUGCCGUCGCCUUCCGUCACCUGCCGACGCACGCCCCGGCCUCCCUCCGUCGCCCGCACCCGCCUGCUGCCAAUGCACCCGCCGCCGGCCGUGCCCUAGCUCCACUUUGCCCGGUAAGCUUUUUGUAAGCAUUCUGUGCACUGUUCAGGAUUCCGGUCGCUUUUCUAGCGAUCUGGAGACACCCCAUGUCAUGGCCCGGGACCGCCGAUUUGGUUGGUUCGGGCACGUCAACAGACGCCAGACGGACAACACCUUCCACUGCCUGCCCAAGACUCAACACAAGUAUCAACAUGUAUAUAAAUUUGCGCAAGCGGAAAUAGAGAUAUACAUGGCUUGCACGAAGGCAAGCAACAACUAAAAGUGAGAGUUCUACACUAUAACAUCCAUACAAGUACUAUGAUUACUUUUAAUCAAAUACAUACUUAUAAUCAUUUAUAUUCUUUCAUAUACAUCACAUGAUUAUCAUCCAAAACAUAAGUCUUUUACAUUUAUACGUCAUUUUCUACAUUUGCUCAUCAUAAACAAAAUAUGAUAACAUCGGGAUAUGAACUAUACUCGGGUAGUCACUAGCUAGGGUGCGAUACCCUUACCACGGUCCUCGACCGCCUUGCUCGGACCUGGAUCUGAAAAAAUAGUGGGGUGAGAACUACAAGAAAGUUUUCAGUGGGUUCGGCCGCCGACCUCACCGACUUUCCCACCAGGUCUAAACCAGGCAUAAGUAGAAGAAGCAGAUAGAUAGGUAACCAUUCUAAACAAAUGCAGCUACUAUACUUGAACAAGAAUACUAACAAUAUAUGAUGCUCAUGAUGCAUGCCAAUUACCUUUCUCAAUACCCAAUCCUCUCGGCUAACCCAUAGGUUUCGCCCAAAAAUAACUCACCAACUCAAAUCCUUACUAUCGGGGAGAAACUCCUACAACCCGAUGGGACCAUUCUCUGGGGAAACUACAAUCUAGUGAUGACUACUCCGAAGCUCAUCGCUCGAGGGGGUGCGACCGCCCUCAAGCCAAGACUUACAGGUGAGUAUGAUCCAAUCCUUAAUUAUAAGAAUGCCAUGUUCAAUCCAUUCCUUAACUAUAAGGAUGCCAUGUUCACAAUGCCCCAACACACUAUGUGUUCUAUUCUCUAGCAUUCAUUAUGCUCACUAAUAUCACAACACAAAGUGUCUCAUUCUCUAGCAUUCAUUAUGCUCACUAAUGCCACAAUGUGCUAUUUCACUCACUUGUCAUAAUGUCACCAUGUUCUUUACCUCAACUAGGUUGUAAGAUAAUGAAUCCUCGUCGUGUUAAACCACUUUUGGUCAAAAUGGCCAAAGUGUGGCGAGAGAGAUGGUUGGACAUGGUCCAUAUGACACUCCAACAAUGUUGGAAGGGUUAAAGUUGAGUCUCGAUUAGGUUAGAAGAGUUUUAGCAUUGCUCGGCGCGAAAUAGAGCUAAAGCAUUGCCAAAACUGCAGUCUUGACACUGUGUAUCGGUACUGAGGAAAAGGUACCGGUACCAGGCAAGCAACCCGAGAAGGUUGCUCUCGGGUUUGGCUAUUUCGGGGCUGAGUACCGGUAUGCACCAAGGCAGUACCGGUACUCCGCAACAAACCGAGGAUAGCAGCUCUCGGGUUUGGGCUGUUGACAAGGGGCGUACCGGUGACACGAACCCGCGUACCGGUACGCAGCGCCUCGAACAACAGAGUUGGUCUGCCGUAAAUAAGAAAAAAAUGAGGGCUUGUUUGUAAUUGUGGCAGCUUAUAUAAGCCCCACACUCUCUUCUCUCCUAUUCACAGCCAAAGAACACCCUCGCCUCUCAUUUUUCUCCCUCUCUCUCUGUGACGCCCCAACUUCCCAGGGGGUCACCCAUCCUAGGACUACUUCUGUCCUAGCACGCUUAACUCUCUUAACCUCUUGGGCCUUGCCACCACCCAAAAUGCUUAAGCCGGGUUAAGAGUUUAGCCCUAUUAUAUCUCAUAUAUAGGACUAUCUGGGGUCUCACAAUCUCCCCUCCUUUAAGCCCUGACGUCCUCGUCAGGCUCAGACUCACAAGUAGCAGGCGAUGUGAGACUCAUCUCGCUAGCCCGUAAUCCAGACCCUGGCUCAGUCGAGACUCAUCUCACACUUCCGGCUGGUAAUUGUCUCUGAUACCAUCUGUGACGCCCCAACUUCCCAGGGGGUCACCCAUCCUAGGACUACUCCCGUCCUAGCACGCUUAACUCUCUUAACCUCUUGGGCCUUGCCACCACCCAAAAUGCUUAAGCCGGGUUAAGAGUUUAGCCUUAUUAUAUCUCAUAUAUAGGACUAUCUGGGGUCUCACACUCUCUUUCUAGGAACUCUCCCCCAAGGUAGAUUGGAGGAGGAUUUGGAGGAUAUUUUUGGAGCUUGAAGGUGGAUCUUCAUCUUCUUCUUCUUCCUUAGCUUGGAGAAAGAGCUGGGUUGAGGUAAGCUUCUUACCCUCUCAUGAUGGAUUGUUAGGGUUUGGCUUAGAUCUCUUAGAACCUAGCUAAAUGGAACCCUAGAUGCUAGUAUGUGUGGCUAUUGCUAGAAUCAUGAGCUUUUUUUGAAGUAUUCUUGCAAUAGUUGCAUCUUAGGGUUUAGAAAGGGGCUUUUGCUCAUAGGUGGUUUUGAGCCAAAUUGACCUCAUAUAACUUCAAUUGAAGGUAAAAUCGACGUUGUGGACAACUCAAAUCGAAGUCCCUAUGGUCGUGUGGUGAGCUAUUGAAGAAAAGGACCAUUUUUGCUUCGUUUGCGCAGAGACGAGCCGAAGCAACGUCCAAAAAUCACAGAACUAGGAUUCUAGCAUCACGGCAUCACCAAAAGCUCGGGGGUGCUAUUCGAAGCCAUCGGGCUUCAUUCUAUGUCUAUGUUACUUUGUUAAUCUUGCAUCUCUCAUGUUGAUUAUGCAUUGUAGGAUGUUGAUAAUUGCAUUUCCAUUCCUUAUAUGCUUCCUUGGUUGAAAUAGCAUUGUGAGUUGAGCACAUGAUAUAUUGGAUGCGUGAGGAUUGGGUCUUAACAUGAAAUCCUAUAAUGCCGAUAAUAAGGGUGAACUUGGUAAAUGUAAUGACAUAGACGAGUGGCAUACAAAACUAUAUGUGAUGACAUAAUGAGUGGCACAUGAACUAGUGUAAUAGAAACACUUAUGACAUGAUGAACCUAGGGAUAGAUAAUUUUCCCAAGUUAUGGACAUAUGACAUGUGAACUUAGUGUAGUUGAGACACUUGAACAUGAACAUUGGGAUAGUUGAGUUCCCGAGUUGUUGUUAGCCCUAGUUGGUAGGGUAUCCUCAGUUGACGAGGAUUGGAUCACACUCACAUAGUCUGUUCUCGCUUGGCGGUGGUCGCUCCACCCAAGCAGUGAGCUCCGGAGUUAUCACACUAGGGGCAGACGUGGUUGUCCCGCAGACGGUCUCGGGUGGGUCGAGUGGCUGGGUCUCCUCACCUAUGGGAUUUGCACUGUGAGUCGAGGCCAACCUUCGGGUUAGCCAAGUGGAUUGGGUAAUGAACUAAUGAAUGACAUACUUGUUGAACAUAGUAGUAUGAUAGUUGACUUCAUUACUAUAUAGUUUUUUCAUUCAUUCAUCUUGAUUGAGGCAUAGUAGCAUGAUCGUAGAUUUCAUUACUAUGUAGUAGUUGCUUUCAUAUCUAUCUAUUUACUUAUGCCUGCUUAGACCUAGUGGGAAGAUUGGCGGAGUCGGCGGCCGAACCCACUGGGAACUAUUAUUAGUUCUCAUCCCACUUUGUUGCAGGGCCGAGUUCGAGCGGAUCGGGUGAGGACCACGGUAAGGGCAUAGAGCCCUAGUUAGUUAGUAGCUUUUCUUUAUGCAUUAGUAUACCAUGUACAGUUGAGAGGACAUGUUGCAUUUUGUGAGAGGCUACUACUUAUAGAUGUAUAUGUAUUUUGGAGUUGUGGAUGUAUCUAUAUGUCAUGAGAUGAACAUGUAAACCAAUGUAUCCAUUUUGAUAUGAUGUAAACAGUUGAAUAUGAAUGUAAUAGAUAGUACUCUCUCUUGUGCUUUUGCUUGUAUCAUACUCGCAAUGAUUCAUGUAUGUUGUUAUGUUUACCUGGGCAACUAAAUGUACAUGAUCCUUAUUGUUGAGCCUUUGGCAGAAAGGAAAAGUUCUGUCCGUUCGGCAUCUGUUCGGCGUACCCAAACUGACCAAAUAGGCGGCUGUGGGGCGUGACAGAUUAAAGUGGUAUCAGAGCAAGUAAAGAGAGAAGUCUAGGAUGGACCUAGGAGACCUAGGAUGGUAACCUUAAGGCUAUAGGUGCGUGAGUGAGACGUGGACCUAUGCCAGGUGGCGGAAGUUGAUUCGAUUGGGUAUAGUUGUUGGUAUGUCUCUAGUGGUUGAUAGAGACGGAUUCAAGUGAUAUGAGUUCUCUACUUGAGGAGGUUAUGUUGGCGGCCGACAACAUGACGCCAAGAGUUGAGAAUGAGUACGCUUGUGUGCUUCCGCCAGAUUGGGUGUCGAGUUGUUUGUUCCUAAAUUGCGUAGAGUCGUGGGUUAUGGUAAUUAACCUAAUUAUUGCGUUUCAGGAGCUAUGGCACCAAGGGGACGCCCCCCGACGCGAUCCGCUCCGACACCGCCUCCCGAGGUGCCCUAGUAUUCAGGAUCUGAGGAAGUGCGGGAACUACGAGCACAGAUGGCUACGAUGGUCGGUGCGAUGCAGCGCCAAGAGGAUCAUAUCGCAAGGCUGCAGGAGUUGGUGGUCCAACAAGCGUCGGCUCAGGCGGAUGUUGAGCGACCCACGCCUCCUGCCGUUGUUCCUGGGGCGGCGGAGGGUGUGGCCACGACGGCUGUGCCAAUUGCAGCGAGGCCCGCAUCGGCGGUAGUAGCUACGGUAAUAGACCUAAGUGCUUCGAAUCCCGAUGGUGCGGCCAUGGCAGCGGAAAGGGAGCGCGCACUUGCGGCCCUCGUGAUGUUCCGGAAGUUUGAUCCACCGGUGUUUGACGGGGAGAAGGUCACGGGAUGGUCGAGUCGUGGAUUGACUCGAUGGAGACCCCUUUCGAGGAUCUCUACACUUUGGAGAAAGACAAAGUACACCUCGCCACUCAUUGCUUGGAGUGGACGGCGAAGGUGUGGUGGAAACGGAUCAAGCGGGAUCGGUCUUCCGACCUUCCGCCGUUGUCGUGGGAGGAGUUUCAGGACUUGAUGUACACUAACUACUUCUCCGAUAGAGAAAAGAAAAAGCUUCAAGACCAAUUCUGAAAGUUGAAGCAAGGAAACCGCUUGGUAGGGGAGUAUGAGCAGGAGUUCUCACAUAUCAUCGAUUGUGUUCCCGAUGUGGUGUGGGACGACAAGGAUCCAGCCGAUUGGGUCGAGCGAGGAUUUCGGCCGGAUAUCUACACGGCAGUUCACAUUUUAAAUCUCACUAUCUUUGCGGAGGUGUUAGAUCGGGCAUUGUGGGCGGAGCAUGGUAAUGCCUACAUCCGUGAGGAGUGAGAGGCGUCCUAGAAGGACGGAGGAAAGAAGCGGGCACAAGGUGGCUCGGGAGGUCAGUCGAGAUCGAGGAGGCCUCCUAAGUACCCGUGAACACAGUCCAAGUGCCGUGGGGCUCAGCAGUGUGUCAUUUGUGGCGGAAACCACCGAGCGAUGCAUUGUGAGCAGCGCCAAGGAAAGUGCUUCGAAUGCAGUCAGGCGGGGCAUGUUAGUCGCUAUUGCCCAAAGAGGACCUCUCCUGCCCCGUCCGUCGCAUUGGCUCCGGCGACUCCGGGACAUUAUGGAGGAGUUCCACCCACUGCCACGUCUGCCGGACAUGCUAUGGCGCCGCGUCAGCCCGAGAUGACCCGGUCGGCUACGAGUGGCCAGGUAUUCGCCGCUCAAGUAGAGGAACCUACCGAGGCCUAGGAGCGCCACGUCGUAGCAGGUAUGGUGUUGAUUAAUGGAGUUCGAUCUAGAGCUAUGUUUGAUACAGGUGCUACGCAUUCAUUCAUCAGUCGACCCUUUGCCGAGAUGCAUGGUAUAGAAAUCCAGUUGAGUGAAAGCACUUGGCGGGUUGAAGGCCCCGGGCGUGCAAUUGUUAUUAGGAAGGAGUGUUUGGCUUGUCCAGUACAAGUGGGCAACUGGAUAAUGCCAACAUGUCUGUUCGUGCUCAAGAGGUUGAAGGAUUUCGAUCUGAUACUAGGCAUGGACUGGCUCUCGAAGUACUAUGCGUCUAUCGACUGCAAGAGCAUAUCACCUUUUGUGAGCCAGGACAGGAAGAGUUCGCUUAUCGGGCGUGUAAGAAUUCGUGCUUCGCCAUGACGGUAUCGGCGUCUAGGGCAAGGAAAAUGGUUAGCAGCGGUUGCGCAGCUUAUUUAGCGACCAUUUUGGAGGUCAGUAGGAGACUCCAGCACUUGAGGAUUUAUCCGUGGUUCGGGAGUUUGCGGACAUGUUUCCCGCGGAGCUACCGGGGAUACCACCGGAUCGGGAAAUCGAGUUUGUUAUAGACUUGGUUCCCGGGACCGCGCCGAUUUCAAAGGCUCCGUAUCUUAUGGCACUGGCCGAGUUGAAAGAGUUGAGGGCUCAAUUGCAAGAUCUCCUCGACAAGGAAUUUAUUAAGCCGAGUGUAUCACCGUGGGGAGCCCCGGUGUUGUUCGUGAAGAAGAAAGACGGAUCGUUUCGACUCUGCGUGGAUUACCGCGAGUUGAACAAGGUCAUGAUCAAGAACAAGUACCCGUUGCCCUGUAUCGACGACUUGUUUGAUCAGUUGCAAGGGUCUCGGAUGUACUCGGAGAUAGACCUUCAAUCCGUAUAUCAUCAGUUGAAGAUAAAGCCGGAGGAUGUGUAAAAGACCGCGUUCCGCACGCGGUAUGGACAUUAUGAAUUCACGGUCAUGCCAUUCGGGCUCACAAAUGCCCGGCAGCGUUCAUGGACUUGAUGAACCGUGUAUUCAGGGCUUUCUUAGACCAAUUUGUCGUGGUAUUCGUAGACGACAUCUUGGUCUACUCUCGUAGUGACGAGGAGCACACGGAACAUUUGAGGAUUGUGCUACAAGUCAUUCGGGAGAAAAAGCUCUAUGCAAAGUUAAAGAAGUGCGACUUUUGGCUCCAUAAAGUCGCACUUUUGGGACAUGUUAUUUCCGAGGGCGAAGUUUCUGUCGACCCGAGGAAAGUUGAGGCAAUCAAGGAUUGGCCUCGCCCGACAAAUAUGACGGAGGUUUGUAGCUUUGUGGGCUUAGCGGGCUAUUAUAGACGGUUUGUGGAGGGAUUCUCGAAGAUAGUUAUUCCACUCACCCGUCUUACUCAAAAGGGCACCAAGUUCAUGUGGAGUGAUGAGUGCGACCGGAGUUUUAAAGAGUUGAAGGAGAGAUUGACUUCGACUCCGGUGCUCGCCCUCCCGGUUCAAGGUGAAGACUUUGUGGUGUAUAGCGACGCAUCCUACCAGGGUCUUGGGUGUGUUUUGAUGUAAUGCAGGAAGGUGAUCGCUUAUGCGUCUCGUCAGUUGAAGAGCUAUGAAAAGAACUACCCUAUUCACGAUCUAGAGCUAGCUGCAGUGGUCUUCGCGCUCAAGCUGUGGAGGCACUACUUAUAUGGUGCGCAUUGCGAGAUAUACACGGAUCACAAGAGUCUAAAUACUUGUUCACACAGAAAGAACUUAAUAUGCGGCAGCGGCGGUGGUUAGAAUUAUUAAAGGAUUACGAUGUUACUAUCCUUUACCACCCCGGGAAAGCUAAUGUGGUGGCCGACGCACUUAGCAGGAAAUCAGUGGAAAAUCUUGCAAUGUUGGUCACACAUCAGAAGCCAUUGUGGAGAGAAAUAUGGCGGUUUGGCCUUGAGAUUGUGGCUCCGGAGGUUCCGACGAUGCUUAUGGCUCUCGUUAUCCAACUAACCUUAUUGGAGAGGAUUAGGAGUUUACAAUCCGCGGACUCGAGUCUCCAAAAGAUGCGGCGCGACAUCGAGAGUGGGUGCGGUGGUGAUUUCGGUGUAGAUCCCGAUGGCGCGCUUCGGUAUCGAAACCGAUGAUGUGCGCCGGAAAAUGAGAAAAUCCGAAAAUUGAUCUUGCAGGAGGCUCAUAGAUCUCCCUAUAGUGUCCACCCGGGCGGCACCAAAAUGUACAAGGACUUGAGGAUGCAUUAUUGGUGGCUAGGAAUGAAAGGUGAUAUUGGACGCUAUGUGGCGCAAUGUCUUGUGUGUGAGCAAGUCAAGGCUGAACGUCGAUUUCCAGCGGGAGAGCUUCAAAGUCUACCUAUUUCCAUUUGGAAAUGGGACGAUAUAGCCAUGGACUUCGUGGUCAGAUUGCCCGGUUCAUCGGGUGGCCAUGAUGCAAUUUGGGUAGUGAUGGAUCGCUUGACGAAAUCGGCACAUUUUCUAUCGAUCCACACUACUUAGUCUGGAGGCAAGCUUGCGCAAGUAUAUCUUGAUGAAGUGGUGAGACACUCUUUCCUUGUUGUUUAUCUUGCAUAUUAUAUGUUGAGCCUAACAUCUAUACCAUAUUUCUUUAUUGCUCUACUUAGCUGUUUUGCAUAUCCUGUAUCAUGUUUAGAAGUAGAGCGGUUUUGUGAUUAUUUGUGAGAUUGAUGACCUAGUCGGUCAGUGCGUGUAUCUGGUAUUGUGACCUAGUUGGUCGGUUCUUGUAUCUCGUAUUUGUGACCUAUUCGGUCGGUUUACUGCAUUAUUAUCGAGACCUAUUUGGUCGGUUGGACUAUUUGAUGACCUGUACGGUCGGUAUACCCUGAGGGGUAGGAUUGUCGGCUAGUUGCCGAUGGUUGGCCAUUGAGCAUAUCAGCAUCGAUCGCCACAACUCGUACGCAUGUCACGAAAACCAGCGGUCUGAUCCACCGCAAAAGGGUGUUCUUUUUCGGAAAAGUGGUUGGGUGUGCCAACUCGUGAGCCCAUAGGCUACCUUGGGUCAUAUGUAGGUAGAGUAGCAGUGGCACAGGCUUGAGGUCUGCCGUGCGGACCAACAGGGCAAAGUUUCUGAUUGGGUAUUUUGGACUUCUCGUCCGGUUGAUACAUGCAUACAGUAGCGGUAGUGAUUCAUAUGUAUAUAUUUCGUUCCUUGUUCAUCAUUGCUACUGUAUUACCAUUAUCUAUCUAUCUAUACUUGUUGUUAUCCUCCGUGACUGGAGAGUACCCUCGCCCUCGUCGGCUUGCGGUACCCACUGGGAGGGGAGACAUGUGUACAUGUUCUCACCCCCCACCCCCAUUACAAGUGACGUCGUGGGUCUUAGUUGGACGGCUUGUGAGGAGCGCACUUAGCGAUUCGGUAGAGCUUUCGGACACGUCCAUUCGGUUUAAACUCUUAACUGUUUUCUUUUAAUAAAUGCCUUAAAUAGUAAUUAUGGUUCAGUGAUUUAUCACAGUUGGAUUUAUCUGGUUUUAUGAUUGUAAUAAAGGAUUUGUGAUUCUUGCAAAUUGGAAAUGGUUUUCUACCCCUCGUGGUAGCGAGUUUUAAAGGAAAAAGGUUUCCUUGUGGGAAACAGUUUUUAAAAAGGUUUUCUUGGUUUUCAUGGCUUAGUGUUUUAAAAAAUGAGUUUCCGGGUAGGAAACAUUUUAAACUGAUAGUUGUGCGCCGGAUUUAUGGAUAAUUCUGAAUGUGAAUGUGAAUGGUGUAUGAAUAUGUGAAUGUUUAUAUGUGUGGUUGUAUCAUGUAUCGUGAAUCUUGUAUUUUGUACGCCGUGCAAAUAUAGGGGAGACUCUAUUCGUGUGAACAGUGAAUUCCCUGUAUUUGUGGCGGAUCUGGCAUACCCUGGGGGUCAGGUUUUCAAAAAAAAAAAAAAAAUUUUGGGCUCUUCCGCAAUGACUUUAAACCAAAAAGGGACCCUGGGGCGUGACAUUCCUAAACUAAGGAGGAAGCGCCAAAUUCCUAAACUAAGGAGGAAGCGCCACGUCAUCUUACAUAUUGGGGAUUAAUAUAGUUGUAUAGACGCCACGUCUUCUUACAUAUUAGGGAUUAAUAUAGUUGUAUAGAUAUAGUUGUAUAGAUUACAAAAUUCCUAAACUAAGGGGAAGCGUCACGUCAUCUUACAUAUUGAGGAUUAAUAUAGUUGUAUAGAUAUAGAUAUAGAUAUAGAUAGAUAUAGAUUCUCAAAAAACAUAUUUUAUUUUAAUUUUUUUAAAAAAAUUACGUGUAUACGAACUAUUUUAUCCGUUUAUUUAAUAAUUCAUAAAUUAACUAAUAAAGAUAAGAAUUAUUUAAACUUUAUUCCUAAUAUACAAAAUCAACAAAAACAACCCCACAAUAUAAAUUUUUUCUUCAAAUCAUGCGAAAACAACACCAUGCAAAGAAUAAAAAAGUGAAUAGUACGCUAUAAAUAGAAUAACCUUAACAGAAUUAUUGAGUCCAUAAAUUAACCAAAAAAAAGAGAAAAAAAAUUAAAGAGCGAAUAGAAGAAAGAUUAAAUCGAAUAAUGGGGCGUUAUAAAGGAGAAAUUAUUCAUUGGGCUGGGCGGUGCCUAUAUGAGUCAGCCCAAUAAUGGGGCGCUGCGAAGGAGAAAUUUGUCACACCCCAAGACCCAGCGGAUGCCCACCCGGCGUGUGUCCAGACCCGCCAUAUGCCUACAACAUAUAAGGCGUCUACAACAGUAGUAUAAGGAAGCAAGAAAAAAAAAUAAAACAUCUAGUACGAUAUCAGAGCAUACAACAACUAAUUUCUAAUAACAGGUAGAAGAAAUAAAAUUGAACAACUAUCAGAAUCCAAAAGAUGAAUACAUCACAAGAUCCACAUAGAUUUAACUAAAUACAAAAUGGUGGUCUCUAUACUGUCACGCCCCGGGACCCAGCGGAAGCCCGCCUGGCACGUGCCCAGACCCGCCAUACGUCUAAAACAUAUAAGGCGUCUAAAAACAACAAUAAUAAAAGCAAUAAUAANAUGCGACUCCCUUGCCGCGAUCCCGUGCCUCCGCCGGUGCCGAAGGCUCUGAAAUAAAACUAUAAAACAGUGGGCGUGAGAACUAUUGAAUAAUAGUUCCCAGUGGGCAAUUACUGGCUUCAGUGAAAUGCACCACUAGGCCCAAACUAAAAAGGGGGUCAGUAAGCAGAUAUAAACAAAAACGAUAUGUACGACAAGUAAAUAAGCACGAAUAUUUGCUACCACAUGAUAU